RNAcentral lists this ribosomal RNA (433 nucleotides) under uncultured bacterium. RNAcentral describes it as "partial 16S ribosomal RNA". It matches the Rfam family "Bacterial small subunit ribosomal RNA", at positions 29 to 507 of the family's 1533-position model. The record is from RNAcentral.
AACGAACGCUGGCGGCAUGCCUAACACAUGCAAGUCGAACGAGACCUUCGGGUCUAGUGGCGCACGGGUGCGUAACGCGUGGGAACCUGCCCUUAGGUUCGGAAUAACUCCCCGAAAGGGGUGCUAAUACCGGAUAAUGUCUUCGGACCAAAGAUUUAUCGCCUUUGGAUGGGCCCGCGUUGGAUUAGCUAGUUGGUAGGGUAAAAGCCUACCAAGGCGACGAUCCAUAGCUGGUCUGAGAGGAUGAUCAGCCACACUGGGACUGAGACACGGCCCAGACUCUUACGGGAGGCAACAGUGGGGAAUAUUGGACAAUGGGCGAAAGCCUGAUCCAGCAAUGCCGCGUGAGUGAUGAAGGACUUAGGGUUGUAAAGCUCUUUUAACCGGGAUGAUAAUGACAGUACCGGGAGAAUAAGCUCCGGCUAACUCCGUG